Molecule: ribosomal RNA, 491 nt
Filed under: uncultured bacterium
Lineage: Bacteria
Description: partial 16S ribosomal RNA
Rfam family: Bacterial small subunit ribosomal RNA
Source: RNAcentral
AGUGAACGCUGGCGGUAGGCCUAACACAUGCAAGUCGAACGGCAGCACAGUAAGAGCUUGCUCUUACGGGUGGCGAGUGGCGGACGGGUGAGGAAUACAUCGGAAUCUACUUUUUCGUGGGGGAUAACGUAGGGAAACUUACGCUAAUACUGCAUACGACCUACGGGUGAAAGCAGGGGAUCUUCGGACCUUGCGCGAUUGAAUGAGCCGAUGUCGGAUUAGCUAGUUGGCGGGGUAAAGGCCCACCAAGGCGACGAUCCGUAGCUGGUCUGAGAGGAUAUCAGCCACACUGGAACUGAGACACGGUCCAGACUCCUACGGGAGGCAGCAGUGGGGAAUAUUGGACAAUGGGCGCAAGCCUGAUCCAGCCAUACCGCGUGGGUGAAGAAGGCCUUCGGGUUGUAAAGCCCUUUUGUUGGGAAAGAAAAGCAGCAGGUUAAUACCCCGCUGUUCUGACGGUACCCAAAGAAUAAGCACCGGCUAACUUCGUG